AGUGAACGCUGGCGGCGUGCCUAAUACAUGCAAGUCGAACGGAGUGGCGCACGGGUGAGUAAUGUAUGUCUAGUCUGCCCUACACUAGAGGACAACAGUUGGAAACACCUGCUAAUACUCUCUCGUGUAGGAUGAGGCUAUAUUGUAUCAGCUAGUUGGUGAGGUAAUGGCUCACCAAGGCUAUGACGCAUAACUGGUCUGAGAGGAUGAUCAGUCACACUGGAACUGAGACACGGUCCAGACUCCUACGGCAGGAAGCAGUAGUGAAAAUUGCUCAGUGGGGGAAACCCUGAAGCAGCAACGCAGCGUGGAGGAUGACACUUUUAGGAGCGUAAACUCCUUUUGUUAGGGAAGCGGUACCUAACGAAUAAGCACCGGCUAACUCCGUGCCAGCAGCCGCGGUAAUUC
This 408-nucleotide ribosomal RNA is filed under the name uncultured bacterium. Its description in RNAcentral is "partial 16S ribosomal RNA". It matches the Rfam family "Bacterial small subunit ribosomal RNA", at positions 29 to 526 of the family's 1533-position model. The record is from RNAcentral.